Molecule: long non-coding RNA, 396 nt
Organism: Triplophysa dalaica
Lineage: Eukaryota; Metazoa; Chordata; Actinopteri; Cypriniformes; Nemacheilidae
Exons: 3
Source: RefSeq, a predicted model, not a curated record
UAAGUGCGCGUUUGUUGUGCAGCCGGGUUCUCUGAGGUAUCACUGCAUGUGUCUCGCUUCGCGCUGCUGCGGCAUGUGGUUUGUGCAGUAAAAUACGCUCCACGUGUGCGACAGAAGAAACCCUCAGGCUGUCAGAAAUGUCCCAGGAGCAGCUUUGAAAGGGCAGAUUUGAUUUGAAAGACGCCACACGGUGCUGUGUAUGCAAGAAGAACAUGCAUUGCUUUUAAAAAAAGGUGCUGAGCAAAUGUGCCUUUUAAGGUCACAUCUUCAGAAAGGAUGACUGAGGUCAGAUAUAACAUUAUUAAAUAUAGUGUUUUCUGGAGGCAGGAGGAGAGUGAGUAAUGGUUUAAUGAUCUCUGCCUUGUACAAUUUAAAGUUGUUUCUCAUGAAGAACUU